RNAcentral lists this long non-coding RNA (1531 nucleotides) under Nicotiana tabacum (common tobacco). RNAcentral describes it as "long non-coding RNA (NTAB_LNC012337)". Lineage: Eukaryota; Viridiplantae; Streptophyta; Magnoliopsida; Solanales; Solanaceae. The record is from RNAcentral.
GCUAAUGGGCUAAUAAAUAUUUAAAAGAAACUACAACUCAAAUGCACUUUCUCUGCAUCCGAUUAAUUCCAACCACUACGCAUCCCACUGUUUAACAAAUAUCAAUUUGAACUCAUGAAUUAAUCACGCAAAAUGAGUAAAUGGGACAACCAGUGGUUAAGAUAACAGUUCCAAGGAAUAUGCAAAGAAUAGCUAGAAACAAAAGAAACUCUAUACAAAACUAAAUUGUUAUGCGUCUGGUUCAACAAAGAAGCCAAACAUUUUUGCAAACUUAAGAGAUUAACAUUAUUAAAUUGUUUCCCCAAAUGCAGUGCACCCACUCCUUAUUAGCUCAAACUAUUUUGCUUGUAUCCCAAUGCUUGUUCCAUCCUAUUCAAUCAAUGGGAUUCAACAGUAAAAAUCAUAAUACUUCACAAAUCUGUACAACAUCAACUAGUCAAGCCAGUGAACACAUAGAUAAGAAUUGUACAAAGCACUAACAUUGCACAAGAUCACCGAUAACGAACUCGUAACUAUUUUAAACCAAGCAAAGACAUUCUCGUUUAAGAGUAAAGAACAAACACCAAGCUUAAUAGAUAUUACAAUCAAAUGCUACCAGAAUAAAAUCCAGAAAUUGAACGAUGAACAAGGAGUUUAGUACCGAACCUUUUCAGAAGCCAAACUUCUUCAAGAAAAUUUUAUUAGCAAGCAUUUCAGUGAAGCUACAACAGCUGAGAUCAAAGUCGAAUGGACUCCAAAAUCGAAUGAAAACGCAUCGGCGCCGAAACAUUAAACCGAAAACCUCGACGGCAACCUCAGACUACGACCUUCGGCGAACUCGGAACUCGCCAGAAAACUCGAAUUAAACCAAAUAAUGAAAUUAAUGGAUUGUAAUAGUGACUAGCGAUUUGGAUCUAUUUCAUACCAUUUAGUGUGCUUUGUAGCUGAGUUUCAUAAUCCUAUCCGAAAAUGGCAUAGCUAAUGGCAAACGGAAGAAGCAGUAACGACAGUGGGGGUGAAAACAUCAAACCAAGGAAGAUCAACAGAUCUGAGAGUGAAACAGUCAAAGGAUGUAUUGAACGAGGAGGUCACACAGUUGUUCCGUCUAUAUGUGUGUGCAUGAGGGUGAAGCUCACCGGAUAUGCGGUCACUGACGGGAUGGACAGCGGCGAGGUGAGACGAGGGAGUUGGGUGAAGGUCGGGCUAUUUUCGAAUUUUCGGCGAUGGGAGGGGUCCGCUACUGCUCAUCGUUCUCAGAGAUCGAGAGAGAUUGGAGGGUCCGUUCUCGCUGGUUUUGUGUAGGAGGCGACGACGGGAGGGUCUUCGGUCGUUUGGGAUCGAUGGCUGAUGAUGAAUGAAGAGGUCAAGGGGGCGAGGGGUCUGUGAAGAAGACGAUCUGAGGGGGGGAUGGGUCCUGUUGUUCGCAGCUUUUCAGCUUUCCCUCAGCGUUGUUUUUCCACCUUUUGAUUUUUUUUAAGUAUUAAUUUAUAGGUAGAGUCUAGGUUUAGGUGUAUUUUUGUGUAUUUUUCCAUUAGUCCCUAGGUCUUUUGUG